This 595-nucleotide long non-coding RNA is filed under the name Malus domestica (apple). Its description in RNAcentral is "long non-coding RNA (MDOM_LNC019175)". The record is from RNAcentral. Lineage: Eukaryota; Viridiplantae; Streptophyta; Magnoliopsida; Rosales; Rosaceae.
CUAGGUUCUCUUCAAGUUUCCAAAGUAGGAAACCUCUAAAGAUCCACACCCACUAGUGUAGUGAGAAGGAUGAAGGAAUAACCAAAAGGGUGUAAGAGAUGUUAGUAAAACCCCCCUUUGGUGGCCGGCCUUUGUGUAGUUUAGAGAGCUAUUUUUCUUUUGCCUCUUUGUUGUUUUAACACACAAAAACCCUAAUGAACAAUAUCUUAUAAAGUUCCUUAUAUAUAGACAAAAGAAACCUAGUCAACACUUGACUAAAUAUCUCACCCUUUCCACCUUAAAGUGGCCGGGCUCUUUGUUGUUUGUUUGGGCUUUGGGCUUUUAUUAUUUCAAGUCAUCCAAUGCUUGAAUAAAAGCCACAUGGGUUUAGGCCCAAUGGGCCCAAUUAAACCCGAACGUUUCUUAAGCCCAAAACGAUCUUUAUCGCUUUUAUGAUUUCUUUAGACUUUCUAAAUUAAUCACAACAAUUAAUUAAUCCAAUUAAUUAUUUCCAUCAUCCAUUAGUUACUCACUACAAUAGUGUUGUGGCGAACAAUCUUUUAGGUUCUAAUUAGCAAGGCAGUGAGGUGAUUGGCAUCAAUCCAAUUGCUUAUAU